UUGACCUCAAAUCAGGUAGGAGUACC
RNAcentral lists this non-coding RNA (26 nucleotides) under Saccharomyces cerevisiae (brewer's yeast). The record is from RNAcentral. Lineage: Eukaryota; Fungi; Ascomycota; Saccharomycetes; Saccharomycetales; Saccharomycetaceae. RNAcentral also lists the same sequence under 5 other names.